RNAcentral lists this ribosomal RNA (611 nucleotides) under uncultured bacterium. RNAcentral's name for it is "bacterial SSU rRNA". It matches the Rfam family "Bacterial small subunit ribosomal RNA", at positions 121 to 749 of the family's 1533-position model. The record is from RNAcentral.
GAAACCUGCCCCCCAGACCGGGAUAGCCCAGGGAAACUUGGAUUAAUACCGGAUACUCUCUUUGGACCGCAUGGUCCGUUGAGGAAAGGUCCGCUGCUGGGGGAUGGUCUCGCGGCCUAUCAGGUAGUUGGUGAGGUAACGGCUCACCAAGCCGAAGACGGGUAGCUGGUCUGAGAGGACGAUCAGCCACACUGGAACUGAGACACGGUCCAGACUCCUACGGGAGGCAGCAGCAGGGAAUAUUGCACAAUGGGCGAAAGCCUGAUGCAGCGACACCGCGUGCGGGAUGAAGGCCUUCGGGUUGUAAACCGCUUUCAGGAGGGAAGAAAAUGACGGUACCUCCAGAAGAAGGCCCGGCCAACUACGUGCCAGCAGCCGCGGUAAUACGUAGGGGCCAAACGUUGUCCGGAUUUAUUGGGCGUAAAGGGCUCGUAGGCGGUUCAACAAGUCGGUCGUGAAAGCCCGGGGCUCAACUCCGGGACGCCGGUCGAUACUGUUGUGACUAGAGUUCGGUAGAGGUGAGUGGAAUUCUCAGUGUAGCGGUGGAAUGCGCAGAUAUUGAGAGGAACACCAUUAGCGAAGGCGGCUCACUGGGCCGAUACUGACGCUGA